GCAGGUCCAAACCACUGGUAGCAGCCCCUGGUAUAUCCAGGACAUCAGCACAUAGAACCAGUGAAAGGGUCCUCCCUCAUAGUGACGCAUGUCAUAGACUCAGAUUUAUACAAACAAAUGCUGAGCAAACCAUGAAGAGUCUCUGGUAUUUUCAACAAUAUCAUCACAGAGGAACUGUAUUGAUUUCCUUGCACGUUCAGGGUACUGGGAGAGGCAACAGGGAUGGAGGUCCCAUGUCAGGGGACUUCACAGUGUGACGGGAAUGUUCAACCUGCACCUGUUCCUUGCACCAUACUCCAUCCAGCUCUCCGCUCUUCCAGUCAUUUAUGCUCCUGUCUUCCGUGGAGGAAGUCUGGUAGUAUCUCCCCGGGACACUGGCUCAAAUUUCCAGCCACCUGCCCAAGACAGAUGGGACCAGGGGCCAGAUGAUGUGGACAAUGAUGAUGUCACAAAGAGAAGUAAGAAAUAAAGGAGGCAACUUAGUGGGAAAGGUGAUGUUCUGGGUUCUGAAGAAGAUGAGAGAUACCAGGCCAGGCUGUGCUUUGCCUCUUGGCCUAUUUUCCUUCCUGACUUUUUUCAGCCACAGUGAGUCUCUGAGACCUAGUUUUGGCAGAAGGAAGUACCAGAGGGAGCUGAGCUGUUGAACAUUAUGUGCGAUCAUGUAAUAACUGCAAUCGGAAGGGAAACACUCAGAGUCCUGGAGAAAGAGAAAUUCGCAUUUGUGGACGCCUGCUGGGAGCUAGGCACUUUCGAAUAGUUCCUGUCACCUAACUUAAGUAUCAUUACUCAAGUACUAAUUAACUUAGGUAUUAUGCAGAGAAGUCGAAUAAUUAGAAAAGUGGCAUGACUUAUACAAGGCAACAUAACAGCUAGAAUUUAAAUGUAAAACUGCCCGAUUCCAAAUCCACACUCUUUCUACUACAAGGCCUUGCCCCCUUCUCUGGGCCACACCAACAUCGCAGUUGCAGGCGAAGAGGCCAUGUCUAAUGACUGCCCCCUUUACAUGCCAACCUAGUCAUGGUCAUGGUGGUGUGAUAUCUAAAAACAAAAUGGAACCACCAUGAAAAAUUUGUCUCUGAGGACCCAGAGUAGUAAAAUCCCAGGAUAAGGAAGGCCUUUAGCGGAUAUAUGGCCUGCUGUCCCGUUCAGUCUAGAAAACGCCUCCUCAGGGUCCCUGCAGAUGGUCACCUCCCUCUGCAGGAGGACGUCCAGUGGGAGGAGAGCCACUUCCCCAGGUCUCCCUGACACUAAUGUCAGAAGGUGCUUUCUUAGGUUGAAUCAAAAUCUCUCUCCCUGUGUCUUCUCUUUGCUUCCUGUUCUUUUCUCUGGAGCAACAUGAUGUAAAUAAGUUUAUUUUCUUUUGUGCACAUCAGAAUUUCAUAUUCAAAGGACAUCAUCAGCUCUCUUGUUAGAAGGGGUCCAGGCUGAACACCCUCUUUUCUCUCAAUGAUCCCAGCUAUGACACAGUUUUCUGAUCUUCAACAUCCUGGAGGCCCAAGACUAUUCAAAUAUGUCACAAAUAUCUCUAAUCACAUCUUGUGAUUAUGACUUGGAUAGAAGAUAAACAUUAUUUCCAUAAUGAUGAACAUAA
This is a long non-coding RNA of Homo sapiens (human), 1591 nucleotides long. Ensembl annotates it as long intergenic non-protein coding RNA 1255. The record is from Ensembl. Lineage: Eukaryota; Metazoa; Chordata; Mammalia; Primates; Hominidae.